Molecule: ribosomal RNA, 163 nt
Filed under: Orlaya grandiflora
Lineage: Eukaryota; Viridiplantae; Streptophyta; Magnoliopsida; Apiales; Apiaceae
Description: 5.8S ribosomal RNA
Rfam family: 5.8S ribosomal RNA
About the family: 5.8S ribosomal RNA (5.8S rRNA) is a component of the large subunit of the eukaryotic ribosome. It is transcribed by RNA polymerase I as part of the 45S precursor that also contains 18S and 28S rRNA.
Source: RNAcentral
CAAACGACUCUCGGCAACGGAUAUCCCGGCUCUCGCAUCGAUGAAGAACGUAGCGAAAUGCGAUACUUGGUGUGAAUUGCAGAAUCCCGUGAACCAUCGAGUCUUUGAACGCAAGUUGCGCCCGAAGCCAUUAGGCCAAGGGCACGUCUGCCUGGGCGUCACG